This 233-nucleotide ribosomal RNA is filed under the name uncultured bacterium. Its description in RNAcentral is "partial 16S ribosomal RNA". It matches the Rfam family "Bacterial small subunit ribosomal RNA", at positions 100 to 334 of the family's 1533-position model. The record is from RNAcentral.
CGGGACGGGUGAGUAAUGUAUGGGGAUCUGCCUGAUGGCGGGGGAUAACUACUGGAAACGGUAGCUAAUACCGCAUAACGUCGCAAGACCAAAGAGGGGGACCUUCGGGCCUCUUGCCAUCGGAUGUGCCCAGAUGGGAUUAGCUUGUAGGUAAGGUAACGGCUUACCUAGGCGACGAUCCCUAGCUGGUCUGAGAGGAUGAUCAGCCACACUGGGACUGAGACACGGCCCAG